RNAcentral lists this long non-coding RNA (3109 nucleotides) under Homo sapiens (human). RNAcentral describes it as "non-protein coding lnc-PPM1D-1:8". Lineage: Eukaryota; Metazoa; Chordata; Mammalia; Primates; Hominidae. The record is from RNAcentral.
AGAGCUGGAUGCCUCCCACGGAGAGCGUCCCUUCCAAGCGGCCCCGGAGUGGAGUGGAGUGGAGUGGAUAGGGGUAGACUUUUCACACGGGGACAAAUUAUUACAGGAUAUCUGCGCCCCCUGUUCCGAGUCACUCGGGGCCAUCGGUUACUUCAGCAGGUUCUCUGCAUCACGGACCCUUUUGAGGCUCAGGUAAAAGUUUGGAUCCUCUCCCCACAAACGAGCAAAAUUAUCUGUACAUUGAAAAUUAUGCAUUGAGAAAAUUCACAUUACUCUAGAAACCCUUAGACUGCAGUUCCUAACCCAAGUUAAGAACCCGCGGUCCAGGAACUAGGGGUAACGAUAGAAGAGAGACUUGUUUUUCUUUGUAUAACCAUUUGCACCGUUGUAACUUUUUGACCAUGUUUCUUUAUCCAAAUGAAAUUUCCGAAAAAAGAAAACUCCUGCCCCAGAACUUCGUAGGAAAACUAGCUUGAUUAUGGAAUUACAAAUAAUAGUAAGAGAAAAAAGGCUAAGUGGUGGCCGUGAUAGGACUUAAUGGUAUUUCAAUUCCCAGAGUUACAGUGGCGGCUUCAAGGGAUUGUUGAAUAAUUGGGAGUACUUGUUUCAGCUUCUUUCCUUCCUCAGCCUGAACAUCUGCUGUUUAUGUAACUUAAUUUCCUAAGUCUGCGAUUUCAAGAAUUUGAUGCAACAUCUUUCUGUUCUAGGAAUUUACCAUGGAAAUUAUUGGCCAUAAUUGUUGGUGACACUAUCAAACUCAUAGUCACUCUAUAACGAUAUGGAGCCUUGCUCUGUCACCCAGGCUGGUGUGCAAUGGCACAAUCUCGACUCACUGCAACCUCCAUCUCCAAGGUUCAAGUUAUUCUCCUGCCUCAACCUCCUGAGUAGCUGGAGUUCAAUGGCACAAUCUCGACUCACUGCAACCUCCAUCUCCAAGGUUCAAGUUAUUCUCCUGCCUCAACCUCCUGAGUAGCUGGGAUUACAGACGUGCACAACCAUGCCCACCUAAUUUUUAUUUUUAGUAGAGACCAUGUUGGCCAGGCUUGUCUCGAACUCCUGACUUCAGGUGAUCCUCCUGCCUCGGCCUCCCAAAGUGCUAUGAUUACAGGCGUGAGCCACCACCACUGUGCCCAGUGUUAGCAAUUAUUUACAACAACUGAUACUCUUACCUUUCUUCCUAUAGAUCUAAUUAUAUGGAAAGAUACAAUCAUUUUUGACCAAAUUUUUAUCUUACUAUGUUGUACUCUACUCAUCUACAUUUCUUCCAGUAGUGGCAGUAAUUUUCCUAUAUACAAAUACAUCCAUAUAUAAGCACACAGUAUAUAUACAAUAUAUAUAAAACAUAUAGACAAGUUAAAAAUAUGGAAGGAAAGAUUAUAAAAGCAAUAAAAACAUAAAAUAUGGAAGAAUAAAGUAAAAAAAAAUGCGAUGGACCUGUGUGGAAAAGCUACAGGACAAUAGGGGGAGGUGAAAGAGGAUUUUAAUGAAAGGAGGGACAUGCUUUGUUCCCGGAAAGACAAUAUUGUGAAAUUUUGACUUCUAUUGAGAAUAGAAUUGUUUCUACUCUCAACAAUUCCACUCAUUUUUGUGGUCAAAACAGCAUAUAGUUGUAUCUUUUUUUGGUAAAUGCUAAAUCUGACAGUUGUUGCCCUUUAAUAAAAGAAACUCUUUCAUAUAUUAAUAAUUGGUAUACCCGAUUUUGCUUCAGCCAUCAUGUUUACACUUUCAGCCAUCAUGGUUUAUACUUUCCACUCAUUGUAUAUUCUUGCUUUCUUUCUUUUCCUUGGAAAGAAAAGUCUUCGGCUAAAUGGAUUUUUUUUUCUUUUUUUAAAGAGAAAGGGUCUUGCUCUUGUCGCCCAUGCUAGAUUGCUAUGCCACUAUCAAAGCUCACUUCAAGGCCAGGCAUGAUGGCUCACGCCUGUAAUCCCAGCACUUUGAGAGGCCAAGGCAGGCGGAUCGCUUGAGCUCAGGAGUUCAAGACCAGCCUGGGCAACAUGGCAAAACCCCAUCUCUACAAAAAAAUACCAAAAAAUUUAGCCAGGUGUGGUGGCAUAUGCCUCUAGUCCCAGCUACUCGGGAGGCAGAGAUGGGAGGAACACUUGAGCCCAGAAGGCAAAGGUUGCAGUGAACCAAGAUUGUGCCUUUGCCCUCCAGCCUUGGUGACAGAGGGAGACUCUGUCUCAAGGAAAAAAAAAAAAAAAGCUCACUGCAGCCUGGAACUCCUGACCUCAAGUGAUCCUCUUGCCUCAGCCUCCCAAAAUGCUGGGAUUAGAAGUACUGUAUCCCCCCUUUUUUUUUUUUUUUUGUCAGAGUCUCGCACUGUCGCCCAGGCUGGAGUGCAGUGGCGCAAUCUUGGCUCACUGCAACCUCCGCCUCCCAGGUUCAAGUGAUUCUCCUUGCUUCAGCCUCCUGAGUAGCUGGGAUUACAGGUGCACGCUACCAUGCCCAGCCAAUUUUUGUUUUUGCUUUGUUUUGUUUUUUUAAGACAGAGUCUUGCUCUGUUGCCCAGGCUGGAGAGCAGUGGCGUGAUCUCUGCUCACUGCAACCUCUGCUUCCUGGAUUCAAGUGAUUCUCCUGCCUCAGCCUCUUGAGUAGCUGGGACUACAGGCACGUGCCACCAUGCCUGGCUAAUGUUUUGUAUUUUUAGUAGAGACGUGGUUUCACCAUGUUAGCCAGGAUGGUCUUGAUCUCCUGACCUCAUGAUCUGCCCGCCUUGGCCUCUCAAAGUGCUGGGAUUACAGGCAUGAGCCACUGCGCCCGGCCUAAUUUUUGUAUUUUUAGUAGAGAAAGUGUUUCAUCAUGUUGGCCAGGGUGGUCUCGAACUUCUGACCUCAGGUGAUCUGCCUGCCUUGGCCUCCCAAAGUAUUGGGAUUACAGACAUGAGCCACCACACCUGGCCAGAAGUACUGUAUCCUGUUUCCACUUUCAUGGUGGUGAAUUUUACCUUUUAGAAAACAAUAGUUAUUUUUAUUUUCUGAUUAUAAAAGUAAUACAUACUCAUGAACAGAAAUUUGGAAUAAAUAGCAAACUAGAAGGAAAGUGCCAUGCAGAGAUAAUCACUAUUAAUAUCUUUAAUUUUUCGUAUUAUUAAAUUUUUUCGACCGCAGCC